UUGGUAGAGGCGCGGUAUUUAUCAGUAACGCACGGUAUAGAAGGCAAAUUGCUUUGCGUGAAAGGAAAUGCCGCCGAAGGGAAGCGGAUAUGCCUUAAAUCCGUUUUCUUGGGCCGUCGGGGAAUACCUGCCGGACUGUCGCAGUUAUGUUUGCGGAGGGCUAUCGU
This 167-nucleotide non-coding RNA is filed under the name bovine gut metagenome. Its description in RNAcentral is "Lysine riboswitch". It matches the Rfam family "Lysine riboswitch aptamer". Rfam says of the family: Riboswitches are metabolite binding domains within certain messenger RNAs that serve as precision sensors for their corresponding targets. The record is from RNAcentral.